CAUCAGGGGGAUUGCCUUAGUACGGCGAGUGAAGCGGCAAAAGCUCAAAUUUGAAAUCUGGCACCUUCGGUGUCCGAGUUGUAAUUUGAAGAAGGUAACUUUGGAGUUGGCUCUUGUCUAUGUUCCUUGGAACAGGACGUCACAGAGGGUGAGAAUCCCGUGCGAUGAGAUGCCCAAUUCUAUGUAAAGUGCUUUCGAAGAGUCGAGUUGUUUGGGAAUGCAGCUCUAAGUGGGUGGUAAAUUCCAUCUAAAGCUAAAUAUUGGCGAGAGACCGAUAGCGAACAAGUACAGUGAUGGAAAGAUGAAAAGAACUUUGAAAAGAGAGUGAAAAAGUACGUGAAAUUGUUGAAAGGGAAGGGCUUGAGAUCAGACUUGGUAUUUUGCGAUCCUUUCCUUCUUGGUUGGGUUCCUCGCAGCUUACUGGGCCAGCAUCGGUUUGGAUGGUAGGAUAAUGACUAAGGAAUGUGGCUCUACUUCGGUGGAGUGUUAUAGCCUUGGUUGAUACUGCCUGUCUAGACCGAGGACUGCGUCUUUUGACUAGGAUGUUGGCAUAAUGAUCUUAAGCCACCCGUCUGAAAAAGGGGGAAAAAAAAAAAAUAUAAAAAAUU
RNAcentral lists this ribosomal RNA (608 nucleotides) under Debaryomyces hansenii. Its description in RNAcentral is "partial large subunit ribosomal RNA". It matches the Rfam family "Eukaryotic large subunit ribosomal RNA", at positions 66 to 664 of the family's 3401-position model. Lineage: Eukaryota; Fungi; Ascomycota; Pichiomycetes; Serinales; Debaryomycetaceae. The record is from RNAcentral.